GACGAACGCUGGCGGCGUGCCUAAUACAUGCAAGUUGAGCGCUGAAGGUUGGUACUUGUACCAACUGGAUGAGCAGCGAACGGGUGAGUAACGCGUGGGGAAUCUGCCUUUGAGCGGGGGACAACAUUUGGAGACGAAUGCUAAUACCGCAUAAAAACUUUAAACACAAGUUUUAAGUUUGAAAGAUGCAAUUGCAUCACUCAAAGAUGAUCCCGCGUUGUAUUAGCUAGUUGGUGAGGUAAAGGCUCACCAAGGCGAUGAUACAUAGCCGACCUGAGAGGGUGAUCGGCCAAAUUGGGACUGAGACACGGCCCAAACUCCUACGGGAGGCAGCAGUAGGGAAUCUUCGGCAAUAGACGAAAGUCUGACCGAGCAACGCCGCGUGAGUGAAGAAGGUUUUCGGAUCGUAAAACUCUGUUGGUAGAGAAGAACGUUGGUGAGAGUGGAAAGCUCAUCAAGUGACGGUAACUACCCAGAAAGGGACGGCUAACUACGUG
RNAcentral lists this ribosomal RNA (497 nucleotides) under uncultured bacterium. RNAcentral describes it as "partial 16S ribosomal RNA". It matches the Rfam family "Bacterial small subunit ribosomal RNA", at positions 28 to 507 of the family's 1533-position model. The record is from RNAcentral.